Molecule: unclassified non-coding RNA, 195 nt
Filed under: uncultured Vanderbylia
Lineage: Eukaryota; Fungi; Basidiomycota; Agaricomycetes; Polyporales; Polyporaceae
Description: sequence contains ITS2
Source: RNAcentral
AAUUCUCAACCUACCGGUCUUUGCGGAUCGGUAAGGCUUGGACUUGGAGGCUUGUCGGCCCGUGUGGUCGACUCCUCUCAAAUGCAUUAGCCUGGUUCCUUGCGGAUCGGCUCUCGGUGUGAUAAUUGUCUACGCCGCGACCGUGAAGCGUUUGGCUGGCUUCUAACCGUCUCGAUGGAGACAACUUUCUGACCU